Mesocricetus auratus (golden hamster) is the source of this 5153-nucleotide long non-coding RNA. RefSeq lists it as uncharacterized. Lineage: Eukaryota; Metazoa; Chordata; Mammalia; Rodentia; Cricetidae. The record is from RefSeq and is a predicted model, not a curated record. The transcript has 3 exons.
UGAUUCUGACCCUGAAGUUCUUUUUAUCACACCACUGCUUGCUGAUACUGCGGCAAGUUUGAGAACUCAGUACAAGCAUCAAAUUCUAGCUUGCCGUUACUGGGGAGGAGGAGAAGACAGGAAAAUCUCUGGCUCCUGGACUAGCUAAUCUGGAAUACACAGCAGUGAACAAGUUUAUAUCAAGGAUACAGUCAAUGAUAUGUGGACAUGCAUCAAAGCUUUCUCCUGUUGUUGACCAUCAUAGCCGUCCGAUGACCAUGACAUCUACCACCUCGCCCUUAUGGAGUUCCACGUACUGCUCUGUUUUUGGAGGUAGCAUCAACAAUCCAUUGGCGCUGCGCAUGCUCAUCAGACGGCUGCUCAUCUGAUUACCUGGAAGGAAAUACUGUCAUUACUGCAGCACAAGCAUCAGGAACUACAUAUGGAGAGGCCAGCAAAUGGAGCACAGGACUCCAAGGACAGAGAUGACCAGUCUUCCCAGCACCUUUUCAGGAAAAAUGCACGUCCUAGAUCCUUGACCUUCUCAUCGAAACUUUAAAAACAAAUAUUAGAUAUUUUUUAAAGAAUAAAAUGGUGCUUUAUAGCCAUUCAAAAUGCUACAAAAAUUCUCACUUCAGGGUGGAUUUAUAGUUGUAUAAAAAUAAAGCCUUUUAGAAACUUAAGGAUAACAGUAAUGGCAGCUUCCAUUAGGUGCUCUGUGGUCAUUUUAUGAACUCUUCUUAUUUAACUCCUACAAGAUGCAAAAGUCUGAGGUAUGCUGCCUAGGGUCUUGCUAAUUAGGCAGGAGGCCAACUUUCCUGCAGAACUCUGUGAUGACAAAGGCUCAUGAACUGAAUCACUGUAAGUGGAUGUUCGCAGUUGACACACAGUCUUUUUAAAACAGGUAACAGUUUUUGUGGAACUGCAUCAAAAUUUGGGCAAAAUAUGACUGGAAAAGUUGGAGACAAAGGUUUAGAGUUGAGAGCUCUCUACUUCAGAGCCAGACCUCUGAAUUAUCAACAAGGCUUUGUCCUUAAAGUUUACUAGUACCUAGGAGGUAGUAGGGUCCAUAAAGAUCGGACUGUAGAUUUGGCUUUCUCCCCACAUUUCAGGAUAACACAGCUACUGUUAUCUUCUUUUUUACUCACCAGGCAUGUUCAGAGGGCUGCUUGAACUAAUCAAAAUAUAUAAUUAUAUUUGUAUAUUUCAAAUAUUUAUCUAGAAAAUAUGACUCAGUGAAAUAAAGAAACAUCAAGAAUAACUUAUUUCAUCUAACCCCUCAAAAAGAGAAGUGUACAACAACUAUCCAUUUCAUUAUCACCAAGGAGAAGACACGAUUGACAUAGUAGCUACUGUGGUUUGUUCUUCAGAGUACACAGGCAUCUCUGUGGUUUGUUUCUGAAGUGCCCAAGCACCUGUGUGGGUGUACAGGUAUGAAUGACUGACCUGUACUCUGGGCCCAGGGCAGUGGUUCUUGGUGAUGCCAAGUCAGUAUACACCGGUGGUAUUCUGGGCGUGGGUCCAGUUUUACAUCACACGACAACUACAGCAUAAAGAGGCAAAGAAAUUUAACUAGGUCACCUAAUCAGUUCUUAGAACUACAGAGAAUAUAAUGAGUCUGGAUAGGUAAUAUCCUUGUCAUUAUACUAUUAUCUUGUUUUCAAUGCAUAAAGUCCAGGGGUUGACUGCUAUUGUAAAGAAGAAUGCUAGGAAGUCAGUGUUCACAAUGGGGGGAAAAGACAAAUGAAAAAGGUAAAGUCUAUUAUUAUGGGUUGUAAUGAUCCUGGACCUAUGAAAUGAGAAACUGAAGCAAUAUCUCACUAUUCAAAGGAAAAGAGGUGGAUUUAAUAAACAAAUUCAAAAACUAACCAUCCACCAGUAUUCAUUGUAGAUUUAAUAUGUGCUAGGCAUUAUUCACCUACUCAUUUAUAAAACUAUUUUCAGUGUAUAAGAAAUAGGCUUUUGAUGUUGCUUAUAUAUUCUUUGCUGGCAGCAUAGCUUCCUAUUGCUCCUAAAUUGUUUUGUGCUUUCCUCUUAGUUUCUCUCUGUGUGUGUUCUCUAGUGCUAAAUUGCAGGAACCACUUAUAUGGCUAUUUUGCAGCCAAUUUUAAAGAAGAGAUGGCAGAUGUCAAAAUGAAAUAAAUGUAAGGAUUCCUAUGAGCUUUGCAGUGUUGGAUAAGCCAUGUGUCUCUUAAAACAAUAUGGAUUUUUCCUACUUCCUCAGCUUAGCAAGUGUGAAUGCAAUAAAUUCUCCAUUACUGGGUUGGCUGUGUAAAUCUGUAAGGACUUUGGCUUUUUGACCUGAUCAUAAUUUGUUUUCAUUCACACUGGCCUUUCUUCCUUCUUCUCCUUCCACCUCUCUGUUUCUUACUUUGUUAACAAUUCUGUGAUUACUGAAAGGAAGCUCCAUUUUGGGGAGGGGUGAUUUGACACACAGGACACUAUGGCUGGCUAGGUGAUUUUAAGUGGUAUUUUAGGGAAACAAGAUGCUUUUAUCUUCUUUCAUUCACAAAUCUCCAGUAAUAAAAGUACCAAUGUUAAGACUGCUGAUUCACUAGAUUUCCAAAAAACGCUUUUAUUUUACAUAUAUGUGUCUGUGUGCACACGCAAGUGUCACAGCAUUCGUGUUGGGGUCAGAGGACAACUUUCAGUAAGUCAGUUUUCUCCCACCAAGUGGGUCCCAGGGAUUGAACUCAGGGUGUGAGGCGUGGCAGCAUGCGCUUUUAACCUGCCAAGCUAUCUUGCCAGUUGUCUUAGAUUCUUUGUUUGUUUGUGUUCUUUUUUUGAGACAGGGUUUCUCUGUGUAACAGCCCUGGGUGUCCUGGAACUCACUCUAUAGACCAGGCAGCCUUGAACUCAGAGAUCUGCCUGCCUUUGACUCCUGAGUGCUGAGAUUAAAGGUGUGUGCCAGCAUUUUAGAUGUUUUUACACUAUGUAUCCUGAAUAAUAUUUUAUCACUGUUUCCUCUUUUGUGUUUUAUUUUUAAAAAUAAUUUAUUUUUAUUUCAUGCAUAUUCAUGUUGUCAGUGUGAUGGUUUCAGAUCCCCUAAAAGUAGAGGUGCAGGCAGUUAGAGCUGCCAUGGGAAUGCUGGGAAUUGAAUCUGUGUCCUCUGGAAAAACAGCCAGUUGCUCUUAACCAUGGAACCGUCUCUCCAACCCCUCUUCUGUGUUUUAUAUUCUUUUGGUCCACUAAGCAUAGGAUUGUGUCAUAUAUAAAUUACUUUAAAGCUUUUGAAAAGUAAUAGCUUGGUUCUAUAGGUUAUGAUGUCAAGAAAGUCAUUUGUUAGUAAUACAGAAAAUGUAUAACUGGUUGAGUAAUAAGUUAAAUCUGUAGUGUGGGUAGAGAAAGGGACUCUUACUGUAGUGUAUAGCCCUUGUCUGACUCAUGCUGUUCUGAAAAGUACAUUCGCUUCUCCUCCUGAAGUGCCAGUCUUUUAGUCCUUUGUCCCUUUUGAAAUUUUUGAAGAGCAAGCACAUACAAGCAAGCAGGUUAACAUCUGUCCUCUAUGAACUUCACUGGGGAAACCAUCUCACCUCUUACUCCACACAGGUCUAGUGAGUGGUACAGACUGUUUUCUGUUUGCUGGUUUGUUCUUAGGACCCACUAGAUGUUUGAAGACUUGCUCUCUGGAUUCUUUAAGUACUUUUUAAGUUUAAAACAUUUUAUGUAUUUUUAUGUAUAUGGGUGCUUUGCCUGUGUAUGCCCGUAUGCCAUGUAUAUACAAUGUUUGAGAAGAAGGCCAAAAGAGGGCAUCAGAUCCCCUAGGACUGAAGUGAGAGAUAGUUGUGAGCUGCAUGUGGGUGCUGUGAAUUCAAUCUUGGUCUUUUGGUAAAGCAGCCAGUACUUCUGAGCCAACCUUAUUUAUGUCUGAGGGACAUAAAAAUGAAUCUUCCCUUCUAUUUUCUAUUACAAAGGGGAGACUAUUAAUACAUUUAUGAGAAAACAAAUAUAAAAUUAUAGGUAUGUAUUUUGGGCAGUUAGUAAUUGUUAUUAGGCUUCCAUUUUGGUUUCUGAUCACUAGAAACCAAAUAGGAAACAUUACCCUGGCUUUGAUGAUGGUUGGCCGAGGAUCCAAGAUACCCUGCAUCUUUCUCAGUGCAGGUACAACAAAGAGGUUGCAGGUGACCACAGCUGAUACAGGAUUCCCUGAAAGUCAACCAAAUAGUUAUUUAUAUUAUACCACAUAAAGAUUUGUCAGACAAUUAUAUCUGUCUAUACAGCCAGGUGUGACAGGACGUGAUAGAAGUGAAUCACCAUUUAUCUACUUCUUCUGAAUCACCCCAAACCCAACAGAAUGACAGAACAGAGGGAGGGUUAACCACAUCUACAGAGGGUAAGAACUGAACCUUCUGGUCUUCCAUGAAAAUACAAAGACAUCUGAUACUCAGCUUUUAGAAACCGUUUAUGCUUUCCUGAGAGCCUUGCACUGAAAGCCAUUGCUAACCUCCAAGUGCAUGUGUGUGCACAUGUGUGGCUGUGGGUGAAGAGGCAGACACUGAACUGCCUUCAUGAGAAGCAACAUACUCUUAAUAAGUCAAAAUACAGACGUGGAACUUUAUCUAUAACCAUCUUUAUUCAGACACAACCAAAUAACCAAAUGACUCAAGCUGUAAAAACUUUAAGAUGAAUAAGAUGGCGUCAACUGCAACUUGAAGUCCCACAAGAAAGCUCAGUGCUCAGUGUACUGAGCUCAGGAACAGGGCCUUGUUGACUAAUGCUCAGUGAGGACUCAGGAUUGGGUCCUAAUGGAGUAGAACUGCCAUCCCUGUAGAAAGCAGAAGAGGCAGCAGAAGUAUGCAUGUCAGAGGCAAGGCCAUGGGACUCACAGGCAGCAGAUGACUACAGAGAAGGCAUCAGAGAGGAGCAUUGCUGCCACCUUGAGUUUUGGAUUUCUGGGACUUACAAUUGUGAGGAAACUGUGUGCAUUAACAUUUGAUGUAUAUUUGCUUAUAAUCAUAUUUUAUUCAUGGAUUGCUCCUUUAUUCACAUGUGAUGUUUCCUUUAUUAUUUUGUCUGAUUUGGCUUGAAGUCUACUUUGUCUCAUAAGGCUAUAGGUUCUCUUGCUUGCUUUUGACUUCAGUUUGCUUGGUGUAUUAUUCUGUAUUCUGUAAUCUUUAGUCUUUUCCAUUAAAGUAUGAUUCUUAAACAGACAGACAAUAAACAAUUGAAUCUUA